Molecule: transfer RNA, 83 nt
Filed under: Cercophora newfieldiana
Lineage: Eukaryota; Fungi; Ascomycota; Sordariomycetes; Sordariales; Lasiosphaeriaceae
Also listed under: 5 other names
Rfam family: tRNA
About the family: Transfer RNA (tRNA) molecules are approximately 80 nucleotides in length.
Source: Rfam by way of RNAcentral
GGGCGUGUGGCUCAGUUGGUAGAGCGUUCGCUUAGCAUACUCCUGUAUGCGAAAGGUCCUGGGUUCGAUUCCCAGCUCGUCCA